GGAAACUUAAUUUCUGGGUUUUCGUGUCUAGCGUUUGACCGUCUGUUUUAUUUGAAAAAAUUAUGAAAAAAUUUAAAAAGAUAAGUCAUGCAUAAAGUAUUAUUUAUGGUUUAUCAUCUAACAGUAAUGAAAAUACUAAUCACAAAAAAAUUUCAUAUAAGACGGACAGUCAAACAUUAGACACAAAAACAUAAG
This 195-nucleotide microRNA precursor is filed under the name Oryza sativa Indica Group (long-grained rice). RNAcentral's name for it is "MIR812 microRNA precursor family". It matches the Rfam family "MIR812 microRNA precursor family". Lineage: Eukaryota; Viridiplantae; Streptophyta; Magnoliopsida; Poales; Poaceae. The record is from Rfam by way of RNAcentral.